Long non-coding RNA from Drosophila erecta, 500 nucleotides. RefSeq lists it as uncharacterized. The transcript is spliced from 2 exons. NCBI's taxonomy places the organism in Eukaryota, Metazoa, Arthropoda, Insecta, Diptera, Drosophilidae. The record is from RefSeq and is a predicted model, not a curated record.
GAGUGUUUCAUCGUGUCUUAGGGUAUCGAUAGUGUGAUAUAAUUUUUCGAUACAGUUGGUGUAUUCGGAUAGAUCAAUUAUGUGGCUAAUUUUUUUAUAGUUUCCUAUCACGAGUGUUUUCCCUAGCGGCACUUUUGCUAAGAGGUUGGUGUUAUUGAAGUUGUGGAUGGAGAUAGAUUGGUAUGCCCCAUGGAAGGAUUUCUUGUUGUUUUCCUUUUUAUUAAGUUUCCCGGCUGCGCCAGUUACCUCCGGGGAGCUUCGUGAGGUAUUGUAAUGCGGAAGACAGGGGGGUUGUGAGGAGGAAUACGAUCAGUAAUUUGUUGCGAGAAUCAGUGAUUUAUUUCGAGAUUUUAACAUGGAUAUGUUGGUUCUUGGUGCUCAAAAUCGACUGAUCGUCGCAUUUUCCUUUCGUCUUAAAUAAGCUAAUAGUGAAUAUGUAUGUAUGUGUUACAAUGUUAAGGUUCUUAGAAAUAAAGUAUCUGACACAGCAGAAAGUAUAA